CCUACGGGUGGCAGCAGUGGGGGAUAUUGCACAAUGGGGGAAACCCUGAUGCAGCGACGCCGCGUGUAGGAAGACGGUCCUCUGGAUUGUAAACUACUGUCCCCAGGGACGAAGAUGACGGUACCUGGGGAGGAAGCUCCGGCUAACUACUUGCCAGCAGCCGCGGUAAUACGUAGGGAGCGAGCGUUGUCCGGAAUUACUGGGUGAAAAGGGAGCGUAGGCGGGGAUGCAAGUUGGGUGUUAAGUCUACGGGCUCAACUGGUAGUCGCACUCAAAACUGCAGCUCUUGAGUGAAGGAGAGGCAGGCGGAAUUCCUAGUGUAGCGGUGAAAUGCGUAGAUAUUAGGAGGAACACCAGUGGCGAAGGCGGCCUGCUGGGCUGUUACUGACGCUGAGGCUCGAAAGUGUGGGGAGCAAACAGGAUUAGAUACCCGAGUAGUC
Molecule: ribosomal RNA, 440 nt
Filed under: uncultured bacterium
Lineage: Bacteria
Description: partial 16S ribosomal RNA
Rfam family: Bacterial small subunit ribosomal RNA
Source: RNAcentral